UAAUGCAGUCGACGAACUCUGGUAUUGAUUGGUGCUUGCAUCAUGAUUUACAUUUGAGUGAGUGGCGAACUGGUGAGUAACACGUGGGAAACCUGCCCAGAAGCGGGGGAUAACACCUGGAAACAGAUGCUAAUACCGCAUAACAACUUGGACCGCAUGGUCCGAGUUUGAAAGAUGGCUUCGGCUAUCACUUUUGGAUGGUCCCGCGGCGUAUUAGCUAGAUGGUGGGGUAACGGCUCACCAUGGCAAUGAUACGUAGCCGACCUGAGAGGGUAAUCGGCCACAUUGGGACUGAGACACGGCCCAAACUCCUACGGGAGGCAGCAGUAGGGAAUCUUCCACAAUGGACGAAAGUCUGAUGGAGCAACGCCGCGUGAGUGAAGAAGGGUUUCGGCUCGUAAAACUCUGUUGUUAAAGAAGAACAUAUCUGAGAGUAACUGUUCAGGUAUUGACGGUAUUUAACCAGAAAGCCACGGCUAACUACGUGCCAGCAGCCGCGGUAAUACGUAGGUGGCAAGCGUUGUCCGGAUUUAUUGGGCGUAAAGCGAGCGCAGGCGGUUUUUUAAGUCUGAUGUGAAAGCCUUCGGCUCAACCGAAGAAGUGCAUCGGAAACUGGGAAACUUGAGUGCAGAAGAGGACAGUGGAACUCCAUGUGUAGCGGUGAAAUGCGUAGAUAUAUGGAAGAACACCAGUGGCGAAGGCGGCUGUCUGGUCUGUAACUGACGCUGAGGCUCGAAAGUAUGGGUAGCAAACAGGAUUAGAUACCCUGGUAGUCCAUACCGUAAACGAUGAAUGCUAAGUGUUGGAGGGUUUCCGCCCUUCAGUGCUGCAGCUAACGCAUUAAGCAUUCCGCCUGGGGAGUACGGCCGCAAGGCUGAAACUCAAAGGAAUUGACGGGGGCCCGCACAAGCGGUGGAGCAUGUGGUUUAAUUCGAAGCUACGCGAAGAACCUUACCAGGUCUUGACAUACUAUGCAAAUCUAAGAGAUUAGACGUUCCCUUCGGGGACAUGGAUACAGGUGGUGCAUGGUUGUCGUCAGCUCGUGUCGUGAGAUGUUGGGUUAAGUCCCGCAACGAGCGCAACCCUUAUUAUCAGUUGCCAGCAUUAAGUUGGGCACUCUGGUGAGACUGCCGGUGACAACCGGAGGAAAGGGGGG
RNAcentral lists this ribosomal RNA (1156 nucleotides) under Lactiplantibacillus plantarum. Its description in RNAcentral is "bacterial SSU rRNA". It matches the Rfam family "Bacterial small subunit ribosomal RNA", at positions 49 to 1178 of the family's 1533-position model. Lineage: Bacteria; Bacillati; Bacillota; Bacilli; Lactobacillales; Lactobacillaceae. The record is from RNAcentral.